Molecule: ribosomal RNA, 634 nt
Filed under: Bradyrhizobium sp.
Lineage: Bacteria; Pseudomonadati; Pseudomonadota; Alphaproteobacteria; Hyphomicrobiales; Nitrobacteraceae
Description: bacterial SSU rRNA
Rfam family: Bacterial small subunit ribosomal RNA
Source: RNAcentral
UAGCAAUACGUCAGCGGCAGACGGGUGAGUAACGCGUGGGAACGUACCUUUUGGUUCGGAACAACACAGGGAAACUUGUGCUAAUACCGGAUAAGCCCUUACGGGGAAAGAUUUAUCGCCGAAAGAUCGGCCCGCGUCUGAUUAGCUAGUUGGUGAGGUAAUGGCUCACCAAGGCGACGAUCAGUAGCUGGUCUGAGAGGAUGAUCAGCCACAUUGGGACUGAGACACGGCCCAAACUCCUACGGGAGGCAGCAGUGGGGAAUAUUGGACAAUGGGGGCAACCCUGAUCCAGCCAUGCCGCGUGAGUGAUGAAGGCCCUAGGGUUGUAAAGCUCUUUUGUGCGGGAAGAUAAUGACGGUACCGCAAGAAUAAGCCCCGGCUAACUUCGUGCCAGCAGCCGCGGUAAUACGAAGGGGGCUAGCGUUGCUCGGAAUCACUGGGCGUAAAGGGUGCGUAGGCGGGUCUUUAAGUCAGGGGUGAAAUCCUGGAGCUCAACUCCAGAACUGCCUUUGAUACUGAGGAUCUUGAGUUCGGGAGAGGUGAGUGGAACUGCGAGUGUAGAGGUGAAAUUCGUAGAUAUUCGCAAGAACACCAGUGGCGAAGGCGGCUCACUGGCCCGAUACUGACGCUGAGC